ACUCAAAGGAAUAGACGGGGGCCCGCACAAGCGGAGGAACAUGUGGUUUAAUUCGAUGAUACGCGAGGAACCUUACCUGGGCUUAAAUGUAGAGUGCAUGAGGUAGAAAUACUUCUUUCCUUCGGGACUCUUUGCAAGGUGCUGCAUGGUUGUCGUCAGCUCGUGCCGUGAGGUGUCGGGUUAAGUCCCAUAACGAGCGCAACCCUUAUCGUUAGUUGCCAGCGGGUAAUGCCGGGAACUCUAGCGAAACUGCCGGUGUAAACCGAGAGGAAGGUGGGGAUGACGUCAAAUCAGCACGGCCCUUAUGUCCAGGGCUACACACGUGUUACAAUGGCCGGUACAGAGGGCAGCUACCUGGAGACAGGAUGCGAAUCUCGAAAGCCGGUCUCAGUUCGGAUCGGAGUCUGCAACUCGACUCCGUGAAGCUGGAUUCGCUAGUAAUCGCGCAUCAGCCAUGGCGCGGUGAAUACGUUCCCGGGCCUUGUACACACCGCCCGU
This 498-nucleotide ribosomal RNA is filed under the name uncultured archaeon. Its description in RNAcentral is "bacterial SSU rRNA". It matches the Rfam family "Bacterial small subunit ribosomal RNA", at positions 899 to 1397 of the family's 1533-position model. The record is from RNAcentral.